UAGCGGCGGACGGGUUAGUAACGCGUGGGAACGUACCCUUUUCUACGGAAUAGCCUCGGGAAACUGAGAGUAAUACCGUAUACGCCCUUUGGGGGAAAGAUUUAUCGGAGAAGGAUCGGCCCGCGUUAGAUUAGAUAGCUGGUGGGGUAAUGGCCUACCAAGUCUACGAUCUAUAGCUGGUUUGAGAGGAUGAUCAGCAACACUGGGACUGAGACACGGCCCAGACUCCUACGGGAGGCAGCAGUGGGGAAUCUUAGACAAUGGGCGCAAGCCUGAUCUAGCCAUGCCGCGUGAGUGAAGAAGGCCUUAGGGUCGUAAAGCUCUUUCGCCUGUGAAGAUAAUGACUGUAGCAGGUAAAGAAACCCCGGCUAACUCCGUGCCAGCAGCCGCGGUAAUACGGAGGGGGUUAGCGUUGUUCGGAAUUACUGGGCGUAAAGCGCGCGUAGGCGGACAUUUAAGUCAGAGGUGAAAUCCCAGGGCUCAACCCUGGAACUGCCUUUGAUACUGGGUGUCUUGAGUUCGAGAGAGGUGAGUGGAAUUCCGAGUGUAGAGGUGAAAUUCGUAGAUAUUCGGAGGAACACCAGUGGCGAAGGCGGCUCACUGGCUCGAUACUGACGCUGAGGUGCGAAAGUGUGGGGAGCAAACAGGAUUAGAUACCCUGGUAGUCCACACCGUAAACGAUGAAUGCCAGUCGUCGGGC
RNAcentral lists this ribosomal RNA (700 nucleotides) under uncultured Alphaproteobacteria bacterium. RNAcentral's name for it is "bacterial SSU rRNA". It matches the Rfam family "Bacterial small subunit ribosomal RNA", at positions 93 to 828 of the family's 1533-position model. Lineage: Bacteria; Pseudomonadati; Pseudomonadota; Alphaproteobacteria. The record is from RNAcentral.